UUUGUUAUAUCAUCAUUACAACAAAAAAUAGCUGCCUGGCCAAUGCCCUCAUUAAAUGUUGGUGGUAUGCUUCAUGAGGGACAGGUCUUUUGCUAAGACCACAAGGGCCUGCGGCCCCAAAAAUGGAGUUUGAUAGUAAUUCUUGCUGCAAGU
Molecule: small nucleolar RNA, 153 nt
Filed under: Neogale vison (American mink)
Lineage: Eukaryota; Metazoa; Chordata; Mammalia; Carnivora; Mustelidae
Source: RNAcentral